Molecule: transfer RNA, 73 nt
Filed under: Stegodyphus mimosarum
Lineage: Eukaryota; Metazoa; Arthropoda; Arachnida; Araneae; Eresidae
Rfam family: tRNA
About the family: Transfer RNA (tRNA) molecules are approximately 80 nucleotides in length. Their secondary structure includes four short double-helical elements and three loops (D, anti-codon, and T loops). Further hydrogen bonds mediate the characteristic L-shaped molecular structure. tRNAs have two regions of fundamental functional importance: the anti-codon, which is responsible for specific mRNA codon recognition, and the 3' end, to which the tRNAs corresponding amino acid is attached (by aminoacyl-tRNA synthetases). tRNAs cope with the degeneracy of the genetic code in two manners: having more than one tRNA (with a specific anti-codon) for a particular amino acid; and 'wobble' base-pairing, i.e. permitting non-standard base-pairing at the 3rd anti-codon position.
Source: Rfam by way of RNAcentral
GCCUUCGUGGUAUAGUGGUCAGCACGCUCGACGCGUAACCGAGAGGUCCGUGGUUCGAUUCCCGGCGAUGGCG